AGAUAGUACCAUGUUUGCAUUUGGAUUGAGACAACGUACAAACCUUUAUCCGAUAAACAAUUUCGGAGGGCAAGUCUGGUGCCAGCAGCCGCGGUAAUUCCCAGCUCCAAUAGCGUAUAUUAACGUUGUUGCAGUUAAAAAGCUCGUAGUUGAAAUGAAGGGUGGUUGUGUAAUGAAUACAUUCGUGUAUUUUGUUAUUCUACCACCCUCCUUCUAAAUUCGAUAUAUGAGUAUUAAUUUACUUGUAUAUGGUUUUAGACGUUUACUGUGAGAAAAUUAGAGUGUUCAAAGCAGGCAUUUGCUUGAAUAUAUUAGCAUGGAAUAAUCAUGUAUGAUUUUCAUGAUGUAUUUGAUUGGUUUGGUUCAUGAGAAUAAGAUUAAAAGGGACAGUUGGGGGUAUUCAUAUUCAAUAGUCAGAGGUGAAAUUCUCGGAUUUAUGGAAGAUGAACAAGUGCGAAAGCAUUUACCAAGGAUGUUUUCAUUAAUCAAGAACGAAAGUUAGGGGAUCGAAGAGGAUUAGAUACGUAGUUCUUCUUUAGAGU
RNAcentral lists this ribosomal RNA (542 nucleotides) under Blastocystis sp. subtype 3. RNAcentral's name for it is "bacterial SSU rRNA". It matches the Rfam family "Eukaryotic small subunit ribosomal RNA", at positions 489 to 1038 of the family's 1831-position model. The record is from RNAcentral. Lineage: Eukaryota; Bigyra; Opalinata; Blastocystidae.